UACAGAGGGUGCAAGCGUUAAUCGGAAUUACUGGGCGUAAAGCGUGCGUAGCCGGUUACAUAAGUCGGGUGUGAAAGCCCCGGGCUCAACCUGGGAAUUGCAUUCGAGACUGCGUAGCUAGGGUGCGGAAGAGGGAAGCGGAAUUUCCGGUGUAGCGGUGAAAUGCGUAGAUAUCGGAAGGAACACCAGUGGCGAAGGCGAGUCUCUGGACGACUCCUGACACUGAGGCACGAAAGCUGGGGGAGCAAACAGG
This 253-nucleotide ribosomal RNA is filed under the name uncultured bacterium. Its description in RNAcentral is "partial 16S ribosomal RNA". It matches the Rfam family "Bacterial small subunit ribosomal RNA", at positions 524 to 776 of the family's 1533-position model. The record is from RNAcentral.